UACGGAGGUGGCAAGCGUUGUCCGGAUUUAUUGGGCGUAAAGCGCGCGCAGGCGGUCUUUUAAGUCUGGUGUUUAAGCCCGGGGCUCAACCUCGGUUCGCAUCGGAAACUGGAAGACUUGAGUGCAGGAGAGGAAAGCGGAAUUCCACGUGUAGCGGUGAAAUGCGUAGAGAUGUGGAGGAACACCAGUGGCGAAGGCGGCUUUCUGGACUGUAACUGACGCUGAGGCGCGAAAGCGUGGGGAGCAAACAGG
This 252-nucleotide ribosomal RNA is filed under the name uncultured bacterium. Its description in RNAcentral is "partial 16S ribosomal RNA". It matches the Rfam family "Bacterial small subunit ribosomal RNA", at positions 524 to 776 of the family's 1533-position model. The record is from RNAcentral.